This is a long non-coding RNA of Xenia sp. Carnegie-2017, 491 nucleotides long. RefSeq lists it as uncharacterized. The transcript has 2 exons. Lineage: Eukaryota; Metazoa; Cnidaria; Anthozoa; Malacalcyonacea; Xeniidae. The record is from RefSeq and is a predicted model, not a curated record.
AGAAAAGGCCGAACUAGAGAGACUUAAGCAAGUAUUGAAUAUGUCACAUGAUUACCUUAAAGAUGAUGCGUAUCGGCUUAUUGAACAAUGACAUGCAUGAUACUGCACACGGAGGUAGUAUAUCACAAAAAGUCACGACAAUAAUUAAUUAAAUUUCCCACUCAUCCGUAAUGUAUAUUUGGAUUAAAUAUUUUGAGAAAAAAUGUACAAAAGGUUUGACAACGUUUGAAGUUUGUGCCCAUGCAGAAUAACGGAAGCAACUCCCUCUCUCUCAUCUGAACAUUCGAAGUAUUUUAUAAUAAGUUGUAAUGAAAAUUUGGGGGAGUGGCAUUACCUCGGGGCGAAUGAAUGACUUACACCGAUUUUACGAAAACUCUGUAAAAGAAUUUCUGAAGUGUACUUUUUGUACUGUGAUUGUCUGAUCACUCUGGUGCAGUAAAAUGGCUGAAUGUCUACUCAUAAAAUAUAUUUUAAUAAACAUAUCAAAUGAA